Caenorhabditis elegans is the source of this 21-nucleotide non-coding RNA. Lineage: Eukaryota; Metazoa; Nematoda; Chromadorea; Rhabditida; Rhabditidae. The record is from Ensembl.
UUCUCUUCGACAGACCUGAUA